RNAcentral lists this ribosomal RNA (448 nucleotides) under Geobacillus sp. J18C007. RNAcentral's name for it is "bacterial SSU rRNA". It matches the Rfam family "Bacterial small subunit ribosomal RNA", at positions 95 to 526 of the family's 1533-position model. The record is from RNAcentral. RNAcentral also lists the same sequence under 1 other name. Lineage: Bacteria; Bacillati; Bacillota; Bacilli; Caryophanales; Anoxybacillaceae.
GCGGCGGACGGGUGAGUAACACGUGGGUAACCUGCCCGUAAGACCGGGAUAACUCCGGGAAACCGGGGCUAAUACCGGAUAACACCGGGGGCCGCAUGGCUUCCGGUUGAAAGGCGGCCUUUGGCUGCCACUUACGGAUGGGCCCGCGGCGCAUUAGCUGGUUGGCGGGGUAACGGCCCACCAAGGCGACGAUGCGUAGCCGGCCUGAGAGGGUGGACGGCCACACUGGGACUGAGACACGGCCCAGACUCCUACGGGAGGCAGCAGUAGGGAAUCUUCCGCAAUGGGCGAAAGCCUGACGGAGCGACGCCGCGUGAGCGAGGAAGGCCUUCGGGUCGUAAAGCUCUGUUGUCAGGGAAGAAGGCGCGCCGUUCGAAUAGGGCGGCGCGGUGACGGUACCUGACGAGAGAAGCCCCGGCUAACUACGUGCCAGCAGCCGCGGUAAAAC